RNAcentral lists this ribosomal RNA (403 nucleotides) under uncultured bacterium. RNAcentral describes it as "bacterial SSU rRNA". It matches the Rfam family "Bacterial small subunit ribosomal RNA", at positions 356 to 775 of the family's 1533-position model. The record is from RNAcentral.
GAGGAAUAUUGCACAAUGGGCGCAAGCCUGAUGCAGCAACGCCGCGUGAGGGACGAAGGCCUUCGGGUCGUAAACCUCUUUUCUGGGGGACGAGUAAGGACGGUACCCCAGGAAUAAGUCUCGGCUAACUACGUGCCAGCAGCCGCGGUAAAACGUAGGAGGCGAGCGUUAUCCGGAUUUACUGGGCGUAAAGCGUACGCAGGUGGCUUCGUUAGUCGGACAUGAAAGCUCCUGGCUUAACUGGGAGAGGUUGUUCGAUACUGCGGGGCUUGAGGUUGGGAGAGGGACGUGGAAUUCCCGGUGUAGUGGUGGAAUGCGUAGAUAUCGGGAGGAACACCAGUGGCGCAAGCGGCGUCCUGGCCCACACCUGACGCUGAGGUACGAAAGCGUGGGUAGCAAACAG